RNAcentral lists this unclassified non-coding RNA (333 nucleotides) under soil metagenome. Its description in RNAcentral is "partial contains 5.8S ribosomal RNA, internal transcribed spacer 2, and large subunit ribosomal RNA". The stretch from base 1 to 120 matches the Rfam family "5.8S ribosomal RNA", at positions 35 to 154 of the family's 154-position model. The record is from RNAcentral.
GAUGAAGAACGUAGCGAAAUGCGAUACGUAAUGUGAAUUGCAGAAUUCAGUGAGUCAUCGAAUCUUUGAACGCACAUUGCGCCUGCCAGCACUCUGGCAGGCAUGCCUGUUCGAGCGUCAUUUCAACCAUCAAGCCCUAGGCUUGCGUUGGAGCCCUGCGGCUGCCGCAGGCCCCUAAAAGCAGUGGCGGGCUCGCUAUCACACCGAGUGCAGUAGAUUACUCUUCGCUCAGGGCGUGUGGCGGGUUCCAGCCGUGAAACCCCCUACUUCUCAAGGUUGACCUCGGAUCAGGUAGGAAUACCCGCUGAACUUAAGCAUAUCAAAAGCGGAGGA